AGCUAAAAUAUUCAGGACCAAUCAAUGUGACAUGUCAUCUAGCAUAUUCUCCAGCCCAAAAGUAUACUAUUACAACAUAUAUCCGAGCCCAAUUAAUUUUGUGGAUUGGUCUUCCGUAAACUCAUUAUGUGGCAAGAAAGUAAAUAUUAACCUCUACUCCACUUACGUCGUUAACUCUCUUCAUCUCCCUCAUUGUGACCAGCCAAAACCAAACCUGAUAUACUCUUCAAGAUCUCCAAUGUAACGCCUACCAUUAUGAUUUAUUGAGGGCUUCUUCAUGAAAGUAACUAUAGAAAGCAAUCAACCUCUUCAACAUCCCUACCUUCACAACACUGUAUAUAGAUAUAUGUCAGCUGGUUCUCUCGCAUCCCUCCUACUCCACAAAAUUUGCUAAAAUUCAUUCACAUCCAUAUGGAAAAGAACACAGCAGAAUAAACCAGACCCGUCUGUUUAUUUCUUCGACUAUGCUAAUGUUAGACAAAGAGAUACAGAAACUUUCCGUAAAUUAUUUAUUUUAUUAUGAUUUUUUUUUUGUUUUUGGAGAUCUUUAUAAUUUAAAACAUUGUUGAUCUAAUCUAAUUUUUACCCUUCUUCUGUUACAGAAUGGCGAUGAAACAUCUUUUUCUUACAGUUGACUGAAUGUGCUUUGAGCCCUUGAUAGUAACUGAGUAAUCAAGUAUUAACAGUACAAUAUUUUUAUUGUAGCGUUUAAAACAAGAUCAGCUGCAUAACACUUUCUAUGCUCUUAUUGAUACGAAGGGACUGCGGAAGAAGGUAUUGUUGUUAAUUGGAGGUGGAUGCAUUCGGCUAAGAUUUGCAUCGAAAGUGGAUGCCAUUAAAGGGACUCUAGCAGAAGAUAAAGAAAAGGUGCUGGCGUUGAUAAGAAAGCAUUGAGCUGCCUGUUGAAUUUAACCGCUAAGAACGCUGGUGUUUAUGGUAGUGUUGUCAUCGAAAAGGUACUCUCUAGCUGCAACCAGAAAAACUGCCACAACAAUGCAGCUGACACAUACAAAGAUCUAUUUUUAGCAGUAAUCAUUGAUCCAACCAAAGUGAGUAAAGAUCCUUAUUUUAUUGCAUAUUGAAAUAUCAUAUUUUUUAUGUUCUAAACGAAAGUUUUUGAAGGUUGUAAGAUGUUGCUUAGAGUAUGCUUCAGCCGUGGCUAAGACAUUUUUUUUAUGUCUGAUUGUGUUGUUGUUGAGAUGAAGGAGCCUGAAUCAGCAUUUCCCGCUGGUAAACCUAUGGACAAUUCAGGCUUCUCUGUAUUCUUUUCUAUCCAACCCUCAGAUACAUUUUCGAUGAAGGAUUCAGGUUCACUCAUAUCAGUUAUGGUGAUGUACCAGAAACACUGUCGAUGAACGAUCCGCUCACUGCUGUCAAUAAUGCCACACAAGCAUCUGAUCGUCUUCAUCAAGUGUUCACAAUGCAGUCACUCCAUCGGAAACAGCAAUCUGAUUUUUGUGCAACAACAAGUUCUUUGUAUAUCACUCGAGUUGGCUGUUUCUAUUGCAUAUUGAAAGACUAAGAAGUCAGGACACAGUUGUGUGUUCUUCUUGCUGUUGUAGUUCAAAUUCAGAAGGAAAAAAUUGGUUGGCAGAAGAGAAAGGAGUUCCUUUUGCACCAACAAAGAAUCGUCAAGAUUUAGGACUGGAUAAUUUAUGUAAAACGUGUUAAGGUGUCCAGCUUUAUUUUUUUUAAGAACAGGUUUAUAUAGCUUCGUUUUCUUCUGCUUCUGUCUUAUGGCUGGGUUUCACUGAUUACCCUUUUAGUAACAUUUUUCCAUGAUCCCGCAACUGUUUUGAGUAAAAUCUCUUUUGCUGGGUUAUAGGGUUCUCUGUUCCUCAAACUAUUAAAGUUUCUGACUCUAUGCUUCUCAUGAUCCCUUUGGCUGAGUCAUGCUUAUUUAUUUUUAAUACUUCUUAGGGCUUAUAGUCUAUAGAAAGUAUGUUCAUACGUACGUGUAAUCAUUUUGAUGCCUUCGAGAAUUGACAAACAGAGGCUUCAGUGAAAUCAGACGAGCUUCUUUUGUUGUUAAUCAGACGAGCUUCUUUUGUUGUUAAUAUGGAAAGUAUGUUGUUGUUGUUGUUUUUGUUGUUUCUAUUUCUUUCUUGUGUAAUAAGUUGCUUGCAACAAUGUGAAAAAUUGAAAAUGGUAUAAUAUUAAUAUUUUACCAAAAAAAAAAAAAAACCCUCAACUCUCCCUUAGACAUGAUCAUUUUACGGGAAUCCGACGCAACUAUGAGCUGACUAUAUGUUCAAAAAAAAAAGCUAUGAUCUGGCUACAAUUUAGUUUACAUAGAACGUUUUUUAAAAACUGUUAAUUACAUUAGGGGUGGACGUUCGGGUGUCCAUUCGGAUUUGGUUCGGAUCUAAUCGGGUUUUGGAUUUUCGAAUUUAAAGAUUUCAGUCCCAUUCGGGUAUUUCUAAAUUUCGGUUCGGGUUCAGUUUGGAUCUUUGCGGGUUUGGUUCGGGUUCGGAUAACCCAUUUAAAUUAUUUUUAAAAU
This is a long non-coding RNA of Brassica napus (rape), 2500 nucleotides long. RefSeq lists it as uncharacterized. NCBI's taxonomy places the organism in Eukaryota, Viridiplantae, Streptophyta, Magnoliopsida, Brassicales, Brassicaceae. The transcript has 4 exons. The record is from RefSeq and is a predicted model, not a curated record.